Molecule: unclassified non-coding RNA, 510 nt
Filed under: uncultured Glomus
Lineage: Eukaryota; Fungi; Glomeromycota; Glomeromycetes; Glomerales; Glomeraceae
Description: SSU rRNA
Rfam family: Eukaryotic small subunit ribosomal RNA
Source: RNAcentral
AGCAGCCGCGGUAAUUCCAGCUCCAAUAGCGUAUAUUAAAGUUGUUGCAGUUAAAAAGCUCGUAGUUGAAUUUCGGGGUUAGCAGGUCGGUCGUGCCAUCGGUAUGAACUGGUCUCGCUGAUCCCUCCCUCUUGACGAACUGUGAUGCCAUUAAUUUGGUGUCGCAGGGAAUCAGGACUGUUACUUUGAAAAAUUAGAGUGUUUAAAGCAGGCUCACGCUUGAAUACAUUAGCAUGGAAUAAUGAAAUAGGACGUUUGAUCCUAUUUUGUUGGUUUCUAGGAUUGACGUAAUGAUUAAUAGGGAUAGUUGGGGGCAUUAGUAUUCAAUUGUCAGAGGUGAAAUUCUUGGAUUUAUUGAAGACUAACUACUGCGAAAGCAUUUGCCAAGGAUGUUUUCAUUAAUCAAGAACGAAAGUUAGGGGGAUCGAAGACGAUCAGAUACCGUCGUAGUCUUAACCAUAAACUAUGCCGACUAGGGAUCGGAUGAUGUUAAUUUUUUAAUGUACUCUA